This 1456-nucleotide ribosomal RNA is filed under the name metagenome. Its description in RNAcentral is "bacterial SSU rRNA". It matches the Rfam family "Bacterial small subunit ribosomal RNA". The record is from RNAcentral.
AGAGUUUGAUCCUGGCUCAGGAUUAACGCUAGCGGCAGGCCUAACACAUGCAAGUCGAACGGUAACAGGUCCAGCAAUGGAUGCUGACGAGUGGCGCACGGGUGAGUAACGCGUAUGUAACUUACCAUUAACUGGGGUAUAGCUCCGAGAAAUCGGAAUUAAUUCCUCAUAACAUCACGGAAAGGCAUCUUCCUGUGUUUAAAGCUCCGGCGGUUAAUGAUGGACAUGCGUGACAUUAGCCAGUUGGUGAGGUAACGGCUCACCAAAGCUACGAUGUCUAGGGGGUCUGAGAGGAUGAUCCCCCACACUGGUACUGAGACACGGACCAGACUCCUACGGGAGGCAGCAGUGAGGAAUAUUGGGCAAUGGGCGCAAGCCUGACCCAGCCAUGCCGCGUGCAGGAUGACUGCCUUAUGGGUUGUAAACUGCUUUUAUACAGGAUGAAACUUCCCGACGUGUCGGGGAUUGACCGUACUGUACGAAUAAGGAUCGGCUAACUCCGUGCCAGCAGCCGCGGUAAUACGGAGGAUCCAAGCGUUAUCCGGAUUUAUUGGGUUUAAAGGGUGUGUAGGCGGGACUAUAAGUCAGUGGUGAAAUCUUUCGGCUUAACUGGAAAACUGCCAUUGAAACUGUAGUUCUUGAGUGUAAUUGAGGUGGGCGGAAUGUGUCAUGUAGCGGUGAAAUGCUUAGAUAUGACACAGAACACCUAUUGCGAAGGCAGCUCACUAAAUUACUACUGACGCUGAGGCACGAAAGCGUGGGGAUCAAACAGGAUUAGAUACCCUGGUAGUCCACGCCGUAAACUAUGAUUACUCGAUGUGUGCGAUACACAGUACGCGUCUGAGCGAAAGCAUUAAGUAAUCCACCUGGGGAGUACGACGGCAACGUUGAAACUCAAAGGAAUUGACGGGGGCCCGCACAAGCGGAGGAACAUGUGGUUCAAUUCGAUGAUACGCGAGGAACCUUACCUGGGCUUGAAUGCUUUUUGACAGUCCCGGAAACGGGAUCUCCCUUCGGGGCAAAUUGCAAGGUGCUGCAUGGCUGUCGUCAGCUCGUGCCGUGAGGUGUCGGGUUAAGUCCCAUAACGAGCGCAACCCCUAUCAUUAGUUGCCAGCGGGUAAUGCCGGGGACUCUAAUGAAACUGCCGGCGUAAGCUGUGAGGAAGGAGGGGAUGACGUCAAGUCAGCACGGCCCUUAUGUCCAGGGCUACACACGUGUUACAAUGGUCGGUACAACGAGACGCUACCUGGUGACAGGAUGCAAAUCUCCAAAGCCGAUCUCAGUUCGGAUCGAAGUCUGCAAUUCGACUUCGUGAAGCUGGAUUCGCUAGUAAUCGCGCAUCAGCAACGGCGCGGUGAAUACGUUCCCGGGCCUUGUACACACCGCCCGUCAAGCCAUGGAAGUUGGGGGUACCUGAAGUCCGUAACCGCAAGGAGCGGCCUAGGGUAAAACCAGU